ACUUUCAAAUACGAAUGCCACUCGCGCUUAAGAAAACCAAUGUCAGCCAGCCAGAUUUUGGGAGAUGUGAGGUCUCCUUGGAUUCUAACGCAAAAAUGUGACCGGACUACAGAUAAUCACUUGAAAAGAAAGUCAUUCUUUUCCUAGCUCUCUCCAUUUUAGAUUUAAGUAUGAUCUGAAAGACUACAGGGUUAGCUUUUACAGUUUCUUUUAGCUAACGUUGGCAAUGAUGAUGAGCUUUUCAACGUGUUGAGAACCGAUAAACAACCUGUCGGCUGUCAGGUUUCCGGUUUCGUCUCUCAUGUCGUAUGUCGUGCGUCAGGAUUUUAGAUUCGAAUUCGUGCUGGAUGUCGUCUUGUGUAUUACCUUUCAUUGCCGAGCAAGUGAAUUGUGUUCGCUGAACUGACAAAUUAUUUCGUUGGUAUCGAAGGAGCUUCACCGCGUUAUCAGCUCAAAAGUCGUGAAAUUUAGUAAAUUGAGUGCGUUCUGACAGGUGAGCCUACAGCUCUUGGUUCAUUAUCAAUGAUGAUACCAAGCCUACGUAUUUGCUAUCAGCCUAACAAGACCUUGAAAGAGUCGAACUACAUGUAAAUAUAACAACAUAGCUUGAUAGUUUGCAGCAUCCAGUCAGUCAGUCGUGGAGUGAGCCAUGCUGAAGUAACGCGUGCUUCUGGUGCGGUGGAGAGAGAAGGGGCCACGUGAAUGUUGUGUUACUAGUGAGAGGUCUCCUCGAGAAUGGCCUCUGAUAGGAGCCGCAGCUCUUCGACAACUUCAGCGUGUAGUUUCCUUUCCUAUGGCUUUCCUGUUUGCUCUAAAUAUUGCCCUAAAACGAGCCGAAAAAGCACUAUCAACCAUAAAUGUUUGAAUACAAAGGAGGUAAGUAAGAGACGAACUAACGGGAUCCCGUGACUCUUGGGUUGCUUUAGGCCACGAGAGACGUUAAAGUUGGUCCAUCACUUUCUCCAUCUGUCUAUAACAAUAAACUAAUUGUGAUUACUCUAUACCCCCUUUGUCUUUUUCAACCAUUGCUUCGUCUAGCAAUUUCAACAUUCAGCCCUGUAGCAUGUUUUCUCUUCUUUUAAAGACUCUACAGUCUACACCGGCCCUCUACCCAUCCUUACUCUUAAAAAAGAAUGAGAAAAAAUACUUUCAUUGUAUGUUAGUGAACGACAACGAUGCAAGCGUUUGAGAGUGGCGUUAUCCCAAGGUCUUGCUGGGCACCCCGCCCCCUCGAAAGGAGGCACAUCGCGUAUCGAUCACGGCGGCGCUGUGCAAGGGCAAGGGGUUGAAACUGGGGCUGGGGGCCGUGAAAUGCUUUGUUUACGCGGUGCUUUUCAAGUGGGCUAAAUAUAAACGCAGGCUUGAUGUUGGAACGUGAGUGGUUUCUUCUUCUAUCCUUAAGGUGAUUCGAUGGACGCCAUAUUUCGUGUCAGAAC
Molecule: long non-coding RNA, 1436 nt
Filed under: Bemisia tabaci
Lineage: Eukaryota; Metazoa; Arthropoda; Insecta; Hemiptera; Aleyrodidae
Description: lncRNA ENSASIAIIG000208
Source: RNAcentral